AAGCUGUGGAAGCACAUUUCUUGUGUGACCGCGUACUUUUUGUAGAACGGGCCAACGAGUUACGUUAAGUAGCAAGGUUAAGCACUUAAGGUGCGGAGCCGUAGCGAAAGCGAGUUUUAACUGAGCGUUCAGUUAUUUGACGUAGACCCGAAACCGGGCGACCUACCCAUGAGCAGGAUGAAGCGAAAGUAAAAUUUCGUGGAGGUCCGAACCCACGAGCGUUGAAAAGCUCGG
RNAcentral lists this ribosomal RNA (234 nucleotides) under Clostridioides difficile. RNAcentral describes it as "partial 23S ribosomal RNA". It matches the Rfam family "Bacterial large subunit ribosomal RNA", at positions 568 to 801 of the family's 2925-position model. The record is from RNAcentral. Lineage: Bacteria; Bacillati; Bacillota; Clostridia; Peptostreptococcales; Peptostreptococcaceae.